AAUCUUGCGCAAUGGGCGAAAGCCUGACGCAGCCAUGCCGCGUGAAUGAUGAAGGUCUUAGGAUUGUAAAAUUCUUUCACCGGGGACGAUAAUGACGGUACUGGGAGCAGAAGCCCCGGCGAACUUCGUGCCAGCAGCCGCGGGAAUACGCAGGGGGCUAGCGUUGCUCGGAAUUACCGGGCGUAAAGGGCGCGUAGGCGGACAUUUAAGUCAGGGGUGAAAUCCCAGGGCUCAACUCUGGAACUGCCUUUGAUACUGGGUGUCUUGAGUGUGAGAGAGGUAUGUGGAACUCCGAGUGUAGAGGUGAAAUUCGUAGAUAGUCGGAAGAACACCAGUGGCGAAGGCGACAUACUGGCUCAUUACUGACGCUGAGGCGCGAAAGCGUGGGGAGCAAACA
RNAcentral lists this ribosomal RNA (397 nucleotides) under uncultured bacterium. Its description in RNAcentral is "partial 16S ribosomal RNA". It matches the Rfam family "Bacterial small subunit ribosomal RNA", at positions 360 to 774 of the family's 1533-position model. The record is from RNAcentral.